GUGGCUAUAGCCCAACGGUUAAGGCGCUUGCCUGUGGAGCAAGAUAUACGGGUUCGAUUCCCGUUAGCCACC
RNAcentral lists this transfer RNA (72 nucleotides) under Candidatus Beckwithbacteria bacterium CG1_02_47_37. Its description in RNAcentral is "tRNA-His". It matches the Rfam family "tRNA". Rfam says of the family: Transfer RNA (tRNA) molecules are approximately 80 nucleotides in length. Their secondary structure includes four short double-helical elements and three loops (D, anti-codon, and T loops). Further hydrogen bonds mediate the characteristic L-shaped molecular structure. tRNAs have two regions of fundamental functional importance: the anti-codon, which is responsible for specific mRNA codon recognition, and the 3' end, to which the tRNAs corresponding amino acid is attached (by aminoacyl-tRNA synthetases). tRNAs cope with the degeneracy of the genetic code in two manners: having more than one tRNA (with a specific anti-codon) for a particular amino acid; and 'wobble' base-pairing, i.e. permitting non-standard base-pairing at the 3rd anti-codon position. Lineage: Bacteria; Candidatus Beckwithiibacteriota. The record is from RNAcentral.